UACGUAGGGUGCAAGCGUUAUCCGGAAUUAUUGGGCGUAAAGAGCUCGUAGGCGGUUUGUCGCGUCUGCUGUGAAAACUGGAGGCUCAACCUCCAGCCUGCAGUGGGUACGGGCAGACUAGAGUGCGGUAGGGGAGAUUGGAAUUCCUGGUGUAGCGGUGGAAUGCGCAGAUAUCAGGAGGAACACCGAUGGCGAAGGCAGAUCUCUGGGCCGUAACUGACACUGAGGGACGAAAGCUAGGGGAGCGAAUGGG
This 253-nucleotide ribosomal RNA is filed under the name uncultured bacterium. RNAcentral's name for it is "partial 16S ribosomal RNA". It matches the Rfam family "Bacterial small subunit ribosomal RNA", at positions 524 to 776 of the family's 1533-position model. The record is from RNAcentral.